ACCCUUGUGGAGGAGGACGCCGAAGGUGGGGCUAAUGACUGGGGUGAAGUCGUAACAAGGUAGCCGUACCGGAAGGUGCGGCUGGAUCACCUCCUAACAGGGAGACAACAAAAUGUUAAAUAUUAAUUUUGUCACCUUAGGUCGAUCGGUAUCUCACAUUCUUAAACAUAUUAAGAAUUUUAUUUCCUAAGUUUUUUCUAGGUCACACCCAAAUUUUCCUGGGCCAUUAGCUCAGGUGGUUAGAGCGCACCCCUGAUAAGGGUGAGGUCCCUGGUUCAAGUCCAGGAUGGCCCAUAUCUCUAUGUUGGGGGUAUAGCUCAGUUGGUAGAGCGCCUGCUUUGCAAGCAGGAUGUCAGCGGUUCGAGUCCGCUUACCUCCACUGAUCACCACCUCUUCCAUAAUUUAUAGAAGGGAAAAUUCUUGAGUCGUGAUCAAAUUCUGAACGAAUCUAGCUUCCUAAUAACUUUAUUAAGAUGCUGGACUCAUUGAAUUAAUUUCAUUGUUUUCAGAGAACCUUGACAACUGCAUAGAUUAUUUUUAAAGACAAUAAGCAUCUUUAAUGAUGCAGAUUUAUUAUUUGUGCGAAUGCAUUAAUAACAAUUCUAUUAAGCUGAUGCUUCAAUUUUGAAGUUAUUGGUCAAGCUACAAAGGGCUCACGGAGGAUACCUAGGCACAC
RNAcentral lists this unclassified non-coding RNA (676 nucleotides) under uncultured Prochlorococcus sp. Its description in RNAcentral is "partial may contain 16S ribosomal RNA, 16S-23S ribosomal RNA intergenic spacer, and 23S ribosomal RNA". The stretch from base 1 to 97 matches the Rfam family "Bacterial small subunit ribosomal RNA", at positions 1437 to 1533 of the family's 1533-position model. Lineage: Bacteria; Bacillati; Cyanobacteriota; Cyanophyceae; Synechococcales; Prochlorococcaceae. The record is from RNAcentral.